UAUUGGACAAUGGGCGAAAGCCUGAUCCAGCAAUACCGCGUGUGUGAAGAAGGCCUUAGGGUUGUAAAGCACUUUCAAUUGGGAGGAAAACCUGCCGGUCAAUACCCGGUAGCUUGACAUUACCUUUAGAAGAAGCUCCGGCUAACUCCGUGCCAGCAGCCGCGGUAAUACGGAGGGUGCGAGCGUUAAUCGGAAUUACUGGGCGUAAAGCGUGCGUAGGCGGUUCGUUAAGUCAGAUGUGAAAGCCCUGGGCUCAACCUGGGAACUGCAUUUGAAACUGGCGGACUAGAGUUUAGUAGAGGGGAGUGGAAUUUCAGGUGUAGCGGUGAAAUGCGUAGAUAUCUGAAGGAACACCAGUGGCGAAGGCGACUCCCUGGACUAGAACUGACGCUGAGUACGAAA
Molecule: ribosomal RNA, 402 nt
Filed under: uncultured bacterium
Lineage: Bacteria
Description: bacterial SSU rRNA
Rfam family: Bacterial small subunit ribosomal RNA
Source: RNAcentral